CGAAAGCGAGUCUGAAUAGGGCGUUUAAGUAGUAUGGAGUAGACCCGAAGCCUGGUGAUCUAUCCAUGGGCAGGGUGAAGUUCGAGUAAAAUCGAAUGGAGGCCCGAACCGGGUAGUGUUGAAAAACUAUCGGAUGACCUGUGGAUAGGGGUGAAAGGCCAAUCAAACCAGGCUAUAGCUGGUUCUCCCCGAAAUGUAUUUAGGUACAGCGUUAUGCGUUCAGUUGGGGGGGUAGAGCACUGAUAGGAUUAGGGGGCCCACCAGCCUACCAAACCCUGUCAAACUCCGAAUACCCUAACUCUAGAGCAUGGCAGUGAGACUGUGGGGGAUAAGCUCCAUUGUC
Molecule: ribosomal RNA, 343 nt
Filed under: Symbiodinium sp. clade D
Lineage: Eukaryota; Dinophyceae; Suessiales; Symbiodiniaceae
Description: partial Bacterial large subunit ribosomal RNA
Rfam family: Bacterial large subunit ribosomal RNA
Source: RNAcentral